Manis pentadactyla (Chinese pangolin) is the source of this 5067-nucleotide RNA transcript. It is a transcript of the gene named adrenoceptor beta 1, with no coding region annotated. NCBI's taxonomy places the organism in Eukaryota, Metazoa, Chordata, Mammalia, Pholidota, Manidae. The transcript has 2 exons. The record is from RefSeq and is a predicted model, not a curated record.
UGCCGGGGCUGCGGGCUCAGCGCGCUCAGAAACAUGCUGAGGUCCCGGUGGCUGUUCCAGCAGCGACAGCGGCUCCAGCAGCAGCAGCGGCGGCGGCGGCGGCGGCGACAGCGCUCGGCUCUGGUGGGGAAGGCGCCCGGCGCCCAUGCCUCCGGCCCCGCGCAGCGGCUGCUUUGACCGGGCCGCAACCUCCCUCCGCGCGCCACGCGCCUCGGCCUCUGGGGAGUUCCCCAACCACGGCCCAACCCCGCCACACCCCCCGCCCCAGGCCUCUGCAGCUCGGCAUGGGCGCGGGGGCGCUCGCGCUGGGCGCCGCCGAGCCCAGCAACCUGUCGGCGGCGGCGGCUCUCCCCGACGGCGCGGCCACAGCAGCCCGGCUGCUGGUGCCCGCGUCGCCGCCCGCCUCGCUGCUACCCCCGGCCAACGAGGGCCCCGCGCCGCUGUCGCAGCAGUGGACGGCGGGCAUGAGCCUGCUGAUGGCGCUCAUCGUGCUACUCAUCGUGGCGGGCAACGUGCUGGUGAUCGUGGCCAUCGCCAAGACGCCCCGGCUGCAGACGCUCACUAACCUCUUCAUCAUGUCCUUGGCCAGCGCCGACCUGGUCAUGGGGCUGCUGGUGGUGCCGUUCGGGGCUACCAUCGUGGUGUGGGGUCGCUGGGAGUACGGCUCCUUCUUCUGCGAGCUUUGGACCUCGGUGGACGUGCUGUGUGUGACGGCCAGCAUCGAGACCCUGUGUGUGAUUGCCCUGGACCGCUACCUCGCCAUCACUUCGCCCUUCCGCUACCAGAGCCUGCUGACCCGCGCUCGGGCGCGGGCCCUCGUGUGCACCGUGUGGGCCAUCUCGGCCCUGGUUUCCUUCCUGCCCAUCCUCAUGCACUGGUGGCGGUCUGAGAGCGACGAGGCGCGCCACUGCUACAACGACCCCAAGUGCUGUGAUUUCGUCACCAACCGGGCCUACGCCAUCGCCUCGUCCGUCGUCUCCUUCUACGUGCCCCUGUGCAUCAUGGCCUUCGUGUACCUGCGGGUGUUCCGCGAGGCCCAGAAGCAGGUGAAGAAAAUCGACAGCUGCGAGCGCCGCUUCCUGAGCGGCCCGGCGCGCCCGCCCUCGCCCGCGCCCUCGCCGGGGCCCGCGGGCCCCGCUGCCCCGCUGGCCAACGGACGGUCCAGCAAGCGACGGCCCUCGCGCCUCGUGGCCCUGCGCGAGCAGAAGGCGCUCAAGACGCUGGGCAUCAUCAUGGGCGUGUUCACGCUCUGCUGGCUGCCCUUCUUCCUGGCCAACGUGGUGAAGGCCUUCCACCGCGACCUGGUGCCCGACCGCCUCUUCGUCUUCUUCAACUGGCUGGGCUAUGCCAACUCGGCCUUCAACCCCAUCAUCUACUGCCGCAGCCCCGACUUCCGCCAGGCCUUCCAGCGCCUGCUCUGCUGCGCGCGCCGGGCCGCCUGCGGGGGCCACACGCACCCCGGCGACAGGCCGCGCGCCUCGGGCUGCCUGGCGGUGACCGGGGGGCCGCCGCCGUCGCCUGGCGCCGACGAAGACGACGACGACGAGGACGUCGGGGCCGCGCCGCCCGCGCGCCUGCUUGAGCCCUGGGCGGGCUGCAACGGCGGGGCGGCGGCGGACAGCGACUGGAGCCUGGACGAGCCGGGCCGCCCGGGCCGCGCCUCCGAGUCCAAGCUGUAGGGCCCGCGCGCACCCCACCUGCGACCCCGGCCCUCGGCGCCCCGGGAGGACGGCCCAGGCGCCCCCUCAGGGGACAGAGGAGAGCUGUGUUUACUCAAGACCGAAAGCAGGUGGGUUUUCACACUUCCCGCGAGGACCGGGUAAGGGAAGGGAGAAGCAUCGGGGAUAAAAGUCCACCAGCUUGGCUUCCGUCCCGCUCCCGGGAACAGGAGCGGUCAGCAGCGGAGAGAAGGGGGAAUGACUGUCAGGACAUGGUUCCUUUUGCUUUCCAGAGAAAUUUCAGUUUAAUUCCCGAGGAAUGAUUUCUCCUGUUCUUCAAGCAAAGGGAAAGGAUGGAUGCAAAAAUCACGUUUCAAGAAAUUUUAAGCUAUUCUUGGAACAAGCCUCACCUUGCUUUCUUUUUGUAGGGCAAACCUGCCCCCCGCGGUGGGCAGUCUGAGGGGUUCUACCUCACACUGUGCACAUUGCACAGCAAGAUAGAAAGACUUGUUUAUAUUAAACAGCUUAUUUAUGUAUCAAUAUUAUUUGGGAGGACCAGGCACUGAGCCUCUGUGACAUGUGACUCUGUCCACUGAAGACAGGACAGAAAAAUUUUUUUAAAUAAAAAAAGAGGAAACAGUUCAGAUUACGGCACAUAUGGGUAAAAACAAAGAACAAAACAAAGGAGUGGUUCAAAAUGUCAUUUUGCACAGUGGUAGGAGUUGUAAAGUCCACAGGAGAUGUUACUUGCACAAAAAGAAAUUAUUUUUUAAUGGGGGGGGGCGGAAACAGAUCUUAAAAUCUAAAAUAAAAUUCAAACUCUAUUUCUGGUGUCUAUUGUGUUAUUGAGCUAAAGAUUUAUUGGGAAAAUAACUUUAUACUCUUAUCAUGGUACUGUAACUGUAUCCAUAUUAUAAUUAUCUCAACAAUUUUUAAAUUAUUUUUUAUGUCCAAAUGCCCACAUGAGUUUGCUGGGAAAAUUUAGCACUUGUGUGUAAAUUCUAUUCUAUUUCCUCUGUGCGUUUUACCAAGUAUUUAUACUCUGGUGCAACUAACUACUGUGUGAGGAAAUUGGUCCAUGUGCAAUAAAUACCAAUGAAGCACAAUCAAGAUUAUGUACCGUGUGUCUGUAAGGGGUCAGUGAUAAUGGAGAAGACAGUUUUGUUCAAAAUACAGGCUGGAUUUCCAAGUGAGCUCUUUUAAUAGCCAUUUAUGACUCAAUAACAUAGCAAAAUGCCUCUAGACCAAAUAAGGCAUGUACCUACUGAGAGCCGCAGACGUGCCCUAAUUUUCACAGCCGGAUUCAAGGUAUUCUGGACUACUUGUAGGUGUUUUCAAGAUACCAUCUGCUGCGCUUGACUGAAGAAGGAACAUUCGGGAUUGUGAAUCUUCUAAAAAAAAAAGAGUGAUGGAGCCAGGUAAACUCAGCUGCAACUUUGCACAGAAACUCAAGAAAGAGGACUAACUCCUUGAAUGAUCAGUUUAGUUGCCUGCUUGGAACAGGGUAAGUGGUUUCCACGGCUUGUUUUUGUUUACCAAUAGAAAAUCACAGCCUACAGAUGGGUCCAUGGGUGCAGAUUUCUCCAGUGGCUGUUUAGAAUGCAAAAUGCUUUCCUAGUGAAGCAAAAAUUUAUAAAAGCUUUUCAGUAAAUAUUUUUUCUCUUGUGUACUUAAACAGACCAAUAGACGUUCCAGUGGGUAGGUCACAGGUAAAAGCAAGUGUGAUGAAAUUUCUGACUUCUAACAAAAUUUUGACACCCAAUGGCUAGGAUAUUUUUCAUAAAACUCAUUCCUAAGGAAAGCAUAGUGAAAUUCCAUCCGGGGAUUAAUUCUGCAUUCUCCAAAAUAAGUUUAAGUAUUUAUCUUUGUAUUUUUAAACAAAGUUUUCAUUACAUGACCGUUCAGUAAAGAAACCAAAGUAAAGAACAUAAAGUUGUAGCUCAUACUAAGCUUUAACAUGAAGAAACUAUUCUCUGCUAAGGAAAGUCAAGACUGAUUAUCCUUUUUUGCAAUGGGAUAUUCUAAAGAUCCGGAGACAGUCUUCUGAGAAAGGCUAAUGAGGAGAUAUAUUAGAUAUCAACAGAAGGUUGCAUGAACAGUAGCAGUUUCAGCAAAAGCUGCUGGGAACUUCAAGCCCUUUCUCCAGCAAAAUAUAAAUAAGAGGGUGUAUCUCCAAAACUUACUUAAAGAUACAAAGAUAAAUAAGAAACUUAUUUUGCAGAAUGUAAAAUCAUUCUUGGGACGAAAUCUCACUAUGCUUUCCCCUAGGAAGAAAUAUAGUCCAUUUCUACAGUCCCUUACCCACCAAGUGUAUAUAAGAUGCAAUUUGUUAGGGUUUUGUUCCUCCGAACACUCAAGUACCAGGUUAGUUGCUUCACUUUCCUGACUUCCUGGUUAUUAUUUUGUCUAGAGAAGUCUUCACAUUUGAAUAAAAAGAAAUUUCCCAACCGAAAACUUACUUAUAGGCCCAUCAAACCUCAGAUCUUAAAAUCAUGAAAGUCCCUUUAAGUUAAUAACAAAUAUGUAUAAUUUAACUACUUACUAGAAGGACUAAACUCUUUAAUUAGAGGAAACCAGUAUAAUCUUGGGAGCAGCUUGUAUGUAUUUUAGGAAAUAGAAGAUUUUUCUGUGACCCCUUGAGUUCUCUUAGGAUUGCAAGGAUUCAAACACAGACCCCAUCAGUGACUCCAGCUACCCAUGAAAAGUACCUCUUGUGGUUUUUGAAGAAGACAGACAUUUAUUUUUAACAGAAAGGUGGGAAGCUCGGCUGUCAAUCCCAAAUAACUACAUCAGUGGGACGAGAAACCUACCAAUCCUGUUUAAUCUGGUGAACUAAUACACAACAGAAGUGAGAGAAGGAGGGCAAUGAAUAUGUAGAAAAUCAACCUUACCCCAUGAGUGCGUGUGUAACAAACUACUAAAGACAUGAACAUUAAAAUUAGAAGAGUGAACUAAAAUAUGAUGGAGAUUAAUUGAUUGGCUUCAUUGAAAAUGAUGUAUAGUUUGCCCACUGUGAAGUUCUCUAACAUGUAACAAGAUUCUCCAGCAUCUAUGAAUUCUCCCCUCACUGUAGAAAUGUAUAAUUGGUAGAGCAUAUAAUGUCAUCCCUGGGUGAACUUGCCAAUAUAAAACUUUGCAAACAGGGUUUGGGUUUUUGUUUUUUGUUUUUUGGUUCAUGCUUUCUUUGGAAAUGGCAUUAUUAAUAACUUCUAAGUGGCUAUUGUGAAACCGUUCCUCAUUAAGCACAUUUUCCCAGCUUAUUUUAAUUUCACAUUUUGUUGAGCAUGCUGACUUCCUCUGACAAUAUGUAAAUUGCCAGGCGGAAAUUCUUCAGCCAAAGUAUCAGGAUGAGAUUAACAUUUAAGUUUUUAACAAGAGCUGCUAAGCAAGUGCCUAAAGGAAAAUCAUU